This 2139-nucleotide ribosomal RNA is filed under the name Salmonella enterica subsp. enterica serovar Senftenberg. RNAcentral's name for it is "bacterial LSU rRNA". It matches the Rfam family "Bacterial large subunit ribosomal RNA", at positions 692 to 2812 of the family's 2925-position model. RNAcentral also lists the same sequence under 2 other names. The record is from RNAcentral. Lineage: Bacteria; Pseudomonadati; Pseudomonadota; Gammaproteobacteria; Enterobacterales; Enterobacteriaceae.
GCGUUAAGUUGCAGGGUAUAGACCCGAAACCCGGUGAUCUAGCCAUGGGCAGGUUGAAGGUUGGGUAACACUAACUGGAGGACCGAACCGACUAAUGUUGAAAAAUUAGCGGAUGACCUGUGGCUGGGGGUGAAAGGCCAAUCAAACCGGGAGAUAGCUGGUUCUCCCCGAAAGCUAUUUAGGUAGCGCCUCGUGAAUUCAUCUCCGGGGGUAGAGCACUGUUUCGGCUAGGGGGCCAUCCCGGCUUACCAACCCGAUGCAAACUGCGAAUACCGGAGAAUGUUAUCACGGGAGACACACGGCGGGUGCUAACGUCCGUCGUGAAGAGGGAAACAACCCAGACCGCCAGCUAAGGUCCCAAAGUCAUGGUUAAGUGGGAAACGAUGUGGGAAGGCCCAGACAGCCAGGAUGUUGGCUUAGAAGCAGCCAUCAUUUAAAGAAAGCGUAAUAGCUCACUGGUCGAGUCGGCCUGCGCGGAAGAUGUAACGGGGCUAAACCAUGCACCGAAGCUGCGGCAGCGACACUGUGUGUUGUUGGGUAGGGGAGCGUUCUGUAAGCCUGUGAAGGUGGCCUGUGAGGGUUGCUGGAGGUAUCAGAAGUGCGAAUGCUGACAUAAGUAACGAUAAAGCGGGUGAAAAGCCCGCUCGCCGGAAGACCAAGGGUUCCUGUCCAACGUUAAUCGGGGCAGGGUGAGUCGACCCCUAAGGCGAGGCCGAAAGGCGUAGUCGAUGGGAAACGGGUUAAUAUUCCCGUACUUGGUGUUACUGCGAAGGGGGGACGGAGAAGGCUAUGUUGGCCGGGCGACGGUUGUCCCGGUUUAAGCGUGUAGGUGUGUGUUCCAGGUAAAUCCGGUUCACUUUAACACUGAGGCGUGACGACGAGGCACUACGGUGCUGAAGCAACAAAUGCCCUGCUUCCAGGAAAAGCCUCUAAGCAUCAGGUAACAUCAAAUCGUACCCCAAACCGACACAGGUGGUCAGGUAGAGAAUACCAAGGCGCUUGAGAGAACUCGGGUGAAGGAACUAGGCAAAAUGGUGCCGUAACUUCGGGAGAAGGCACGCUGACACGUAGGUGAAGUGAUUUACUCAUGGAGCUGAAGUCAGUCGAAGAUACCAGCUGGCUGCAACUGUUUAUUAAAAACACAGCACUGUGCAAACACGAAAGUGGACGUAUACGGUGUGACGCCUGCCCGGUGCCGGAAGGUUAAUUGAUGGGGUCAGCGCAAGCGAAGCUCCUGAUCGAAGCCCCGGUAAACGGCGGCCGUAACUAUAACGGUCCUAAGGUAGCGAAAUUCCUUGUCGGGUAAGUUCCGACCUGCACGAAUGGCGUAAUGAUGGCCAGGCUGUCUCCACCCGAGACUCAGUGAAAUUGAACUCGCUGUGAAGAUGCAGUGUACCCGCGGCAAGACGGAAAGACCCCGUGAACCUUUACUAUAGCUUGACACUGAACAUUGAGCCUUGAUGUGUAGGAUAGGUGGGAGGCUUUGAAGUGUGGACGCCAGUCUGCAUGGAGCCGACCUUGAAAUACCACCCUUUAAUGUUUGAUGUUCUAACGUGGACCCGUAAUCCGGGUUGCGGACAGUGUCUGGUGGGUAGUUUGACUGGGGCGGUCUCCUCCUAAAGAGUAACGGAGGAGCACGAAGGUUGGCUAAUCCUGGUCGGACAUCAGGAGGUUAGUGCAAUGGCAUAAGCCAGCUUGACUGCGAGCGUGACGGCGCGAGCAGGUGCGAAAGCAGGUCAUAGUGAUCCGGUGGUUCUGAAUGGAAGGGCCAUCGCUCAACGGAUAAAAGGUACUCCGGGGAUAACAGGCUGAUACCGCCCAAGAGUUCAUAUCGACGGCGGUGUUUGGCACCUCGAUGUCGGCUCAUCACAUCCUGGGGCUGAAGUAGGUCCCAAGGGUAUGGCUGUUCGCCAUUUAAAGUGGUACGCGAGCUGGGUUUAGAACGUCGUGAGACAGUUCGGUCCCUAUCUGCCGUGGGCGCUGGAGAACUGAGGGGGGCUGCUCCUAGUACGAGAGGACCGGAGUGGACGCAUCACUGGUGUUCGGGUUGUCAUGCCAAUGGCACUGCCCGGUAGCUAAAUGCGGAAGAGAUAAGUGCUGAAAGCAUCUAAGCACGAAACUUGCCCCGAGAUGAGUUCU